This 10208-nucleotide long non-coding RNA is filed under the name Vitis vinifera (wine grape). RNAcentral describes it as "long non-coding RNA (VVIN_LNC000264)". Lineage: Eukaryota; Viridiplantae; Streptophyta; Magnoliopsida; Vitales; Vitaceae. The record is from RNAcentral.
UCUGAAAUGAGGCCAUCAUAGUUGAAAACACCAUUGUAAACAUAGUUCCCAUCUUCGGAUCUUUCAAUCUUCAGAGCCAUUACCACCAAAUCCUUACUACGAUGGGAAGAUCAUCACGAGAACAACUUGAAGGUCUUGGCUUGAAGGAUGAUCUGCCUCAGUGCACCAAUGGGAGCUAGAAUCAUCAAUAUUAUUCCCAUAACUAUACACAUCUGAAAUUGCACAUAUUCAAACAAAGCCUAUUAAUACCCAAAAGAGAGACAGGGGCAGCCUUAAGAUAUACAGUUUGGAGUUAAUUAACAUACCCAAUUUGCAAACCAUGAUAAACUAAGCCUUCUGGGUUUGUAAACAGCAAGCCACAUGAUACAAGGGAGCUGCACAAAACCAAAAUUUAAGAUAUUAGUGCUGUAUUGUGAAGGAUAUAUAAUAGCCUAAUAUGCCUUUAAUUGGAUGUGGGAGGAUUUAUUCCUUACAAAGUAUGUUGUUGGGGCAAAAACCAAUCCUCCCAAGAAUCCAAGGAGACUACCGAAGAAAGGGAUCAGCAUACCAAUGAACAUAGUAAAAGCUGCAAUCAACCAAGAUAUAUAAGAGCAUGAAAAUAGGCUGAUGAAGCUUUGUCAUAACUCAUCCAAAGAAGGAAGAGCAUCAACCACUCACCAACAUAUAGGGUGCGGGUAAUAAGGCGAAGCCUAAAACAUGGUGUGAAUUUCAGUUUCUUCACCAACAAUGUUUCCAACAAGUCAAACAUUGGCAUUGCAUAUAUCUGCAGUUCCAAUAAGCUCGUGAGGAAAUGAAGAUUCAAUGAAAUAAAAACAUAUUAUUUGGAGAAGAUUUCGAAUUGAACCUGGUAGCUUCCAAUAACGUGGAUGACAACAAACAUGUUGGCUGCUGCUAUUAGCCAACGUGGGUUCUCCAGUGUGAUGAGGAUAUUAUCAGCAACGCUGUUCCCAAACAUCCAGUAUCCAAUCAGGGCAACAGGGAAGUAGCAGAUGGCAACAACAAUAUAAGCGAAAACGACUCCUUUCCACAUGGGUCCCUUGGAAGGCUUCUCAGGGGUGGAAGGAAUUGUUGCUUGGAUCUCCAACACCACGUUGUGACCAGCAUAGGCAAAUGCUACGUCACCCAAGGCGCUAAAGAAGGUGAAGACUCUUCCAGCUGUGGUGGAAGCUGUGUACGAAUACUGCACAUCUGGUUGGACACCCUUAUGAACCGAAGCUGUCCAAGCAAUAGUUGAGUAACUGCAGAUUGAAAGGUAAGAAAAUCAAUCUUACAGCAUGGAGAUUGUCACAGAAAGCUCACAAGAGAUAGGAAUAGAGAGACUUACGUUAAGGACAUGGCUGCGGCAGCAAAUGAGACACCACUGAUGGAGUUGAAAUUGGGCAAAUGGGAGAGAACAAAGUGACAAGAGGCAAAGAUCAUGAUGAAGUAGGUGGUUCUGAUGGGUUUGCAGUCGGGACAGACUGUGUUAUGGAGCUUCCGCAAGGAUUUGCCUCCGGUGAUCAUGUAGGCAAUGUUAACACCCACUUCUACAAUCACCUGUUGAGGCACCACAAUCCAGAGGCCAAGCUUUUCACCGAAGGCAUGCUGUCCUAACUCAUGGUAUCUGUCAAACCGCUUUCCAGGAACCAUUUCAUGCAUCUCAACCAUUUGCCAUAGAGUGUACAAUGUGACAAUCCAUGACAGAACAAGAAUAACCACCCCAGGACCCCUAAAUUUGAAAAGAGAAACGACUGCUAUGAUCAGAGCUUUUGAAGAUCGAAAAAAGAUAAAAAUCCCUUAAAUACCUACAUACUGAAAAUCCCUUAAAUAACCAAAAACAAAAGAGGAGACAAAAUCUCUGUAAACAGAAUCAAAACCCAAUUUCAGGACAAUAAAGCUUUUAUAUUCAAAGUAAAAGCUGAAGGAAUUUCAUUUUUAGGAAUGAAAGAAACAGGAAACAUACCAUCCGAGCCCUGCCACGGCGUAAGGGAGACUGAGGACGCCAGCCCCAACCAUGGCGGUCACAUUGUGGAAUGCAGAGUACCACCAUUUCGCGUUCCGGGAGGACGUGAUCGGAAGCCAAUCAUCAAUGGCCCUGUCUCUAGCAUCCUUCUCCUGCUGACUAUCAAGCCCCAUUUUUCCCAACAAAUUGAAGAAACUGGCCAGGGAUAUUUCAGACCCUGAUGCAGAGACGACAACUGUUGAAGGGCUUUGAUGAGUGAUGGUUUAUUUCAGCGUAAAACAUCGAAAUAUAUAGAGAUUGAAGGAGAUGAAGAAAAGAUAAUGGGCAAAUAUAGUGUUAACAGUUCGGAUGGUUUUGAUGUUUCAGAUGUUUCAGUUGUUAAAUUACCAAAAGGGCCUGAUUUCUCUACGUUUAGUCUUUACAGAUUCGACUAAUUGGUGAGAGAGUAUCUGGGGUUUAAAUGUCCAUUCAUCUCUGAGGAGUCGUGUCCGCGGCGGCAUAUUUUACAGCUUCAAUGUUUUUAACCUCUUUUCUAUGUUUUGUAUAAUUAUUUUUUAAAAUAACCUCCAAAAAUUAACUAAGUUUUUAAUUAAGGCAUUCUACUACAUAAAUCAAGUUAAAUCCGAUUCAAAUAAUAAUCGUGUCAAAAAUAUAACUCAAAUACUAUCUAAUUAUUAAAUAGGUAACACCUCGUGUAACCCAUUUAUUAAUCUAAGUCCUUCUAUUUAAUAAUUAUGCUAAACUAGAUCUUAUAUAAGUCUAUAUACUUAAUAUUUUAGCCAAACAUAUUUAUUACUCAAUUAAUCUAUUUAUUUAAAAAUAAAUUUAAAAUUAGUUAAAUAUGAACCAAAUAGUUUAAAAUUAUACUUAAGUUAGUCAACAUGGUCAAUUCGUGUCAAAUUCAUGUUAUGCAAGUUGACCAAAAACCUACCUAUUUAUUAAACAAAUUAUGUAAAUUGAUACAAAUUUGACCAAAACCUAAUUAUAUUUAACCUAAUUUGAAAAAAAAACAUGUUGAUGAAUCAUAUCAAACUUUGCCACGUUGACCUAACAUGCUUUAAAAAAUAAAUCAUAUAAUUAGGUAAUUAUAUCUCUAUUUUUAAAAUUCACAUAAAUAGAAGUAUCCAACCGACACGUUUCAUACCAAAUUUAUUUUUCAAAAAAUUGCUUCAAAGUGUGGAAAUCCUCAGGCAUCAAUCAUCAUAUAUGAAACAACAUGGAGUCCAAUAUUUUUUCGAGAUUAAUAUGAAUUAUAAUAUUUUUUUAAGGUGUUUUUUUGUCUUCCUUUUGCAAUAAGUUUGUCAUUUCAUUCGCAAGAAACAAGAAUCAGAUUUUUAAAAAUCUAUUUUUCUAAAAUAAAUUGUUUCUACAAAAUGCAUUGGAAAUUGAACAUGAUUUUUUUUUUAUAAUUGGUAUUUUCUUAAUAAUAAAAUUUCCAAUAUUAUAUGUAAAAGGUGUGAAACCUGCUUUUAUAUGUAUAGAAACUCUAUUGCAAAUAGAAAAUCCUAAUCGUUAUCUAUUUCCAAAACGAAAUACAAAGUUUCCAAAAAAUGCAGUAUCCUAUUUAGAAGAAAUCUCUUCUAAAAUAAAAUAUAUUCAUUCUUUCCUUCAUUCCUAUAUUUAACUAAUUUCAGGUUUUCUAUUUCUAUUUUAGGUAAGCAUAUAACCUACUAAACCCUAUAUAUAAUGAUAUAGAAUUAAUAAUUUUUAGGAAACAAAUCUACACCUUAGUUUUUCGUGUAGUCAAUAUGUCAAAUCUUUCUACUACCAUUAAAUUCAAGAAAAAAAAAAUGGUUAUUGUUUUACCAUUAAAUCUCUUCCGAGUGACUUAUUGAUAAAGACUCUUACUCGGGUUGUAUCAUCUUUAUUUGCAGACUUGUUCAAUACAAAAUUAAGGUAUGUUUAUAAUAAUUAUACAUACAUUUAAUUUAUUAUUAUUUUUAAAUAUUAAUCUAUAUGUUUUGUUUUUAUUUUAGUUGUAAAAAUUUUCUUGAAACAUCCAAGAAUAAGUUCAUAAUGAAGAAUAUCCCCAUAUAGAAAUUUUCAACAAUUCCAUGGAGGCAAGUAAAUGAUGAAGUCUCUUCAUUUUUUAAAGCUUGCAAAGAAAGUGGAAAUUUGGAAGCAUUAUAUGGACAAGGAAUAGUAAAAAAUUUAAUUUUUAACAAUGAGAAAAUUAGAAAACAUGAAAAUCCAUUUUUCUUUAAUUAUUCUUCUUGUUUGAAAUAGAUGGGAUUCUUUAUUUGGAAGAAAAUGGAAUCGAAGGAUGAAUAUCUAAAGAAAGCAAUGGAGAUGGGGCACAUGGAGGCAUUUUUCGUUGAUGAUUCAUAAUUCAUUUUUGUAGGGGAAAAAAAAAACUUGUUUUAAGCGUGUAAAUAAAAUUUAUUCAAAGAAAUAUUUCUCUUCUUGGUUUUUUUUUACUCUUUGAGCUCUAAUAAUAAAAUAUUAUAUUGAGUUAAUAAAUAAUAUGAUGAAAAUGGUAUAAUUUGCAUUUUUACCCAAGUAUAAUUUGCAUCAUUUGGGCCUUCCAGUGGAGGCAGUUACUCUCGUCUAAGUAUGGUGGACUGUUUAGUGGAGCCCCAAAUUUCUAUUAUUCCAUUUUGGACUUGCAGGUUCAAUAAAAAUUUGAUUUUUAUUUGAAAAACUCAUAUUAAUACCAAUUAAAAAACUGUUGUUCAGUAGGAUAACACCAGAUGGAUUGAAUGUGUAUAUUUAAAAAAAUUAUAAUAUAAGAAUUAAUUAUUUUAAUCCAAUUUAAUACUAGAAAAUAUCAAAUAAACAAAAUUACCAAACAUCAACUAAAUAAAUAAGUGAUAUAAGAAUUUUUACAAGGAAAACCUGUACACCAACUGUGGAGAUAAAAAAUAACGAGAUCUAAGACCUCUAAUAUAAGAUUCACUAGAUAAAGUAAUACAAAAUUACCUCACAGCUUGCUUUUAAGACAUACUCUCCAAAACUUAUAACUUGAUCCUCAUCUAUGACACAACAAUUUUCAAUUGCUUUAGUGAAUUUUUCUUUACCUCGUUAAAGGGAUAUAGGUCUUCUAACAACCUGAGAUUCAAAUUUUGAGUCUUUGUUAAGAGAUCGAGAAUGAUAAGGUAGGUUAGGUUGAGUCUUUCUCAAUGUGUCCAAUCCUAAUGGGUUAAAGGAGGAUUUAUAGAGGUCCAUAGGCCUACAAGAUCGGUAUCCCAAAUUUCUAAAAAGAAUACUAGUGAAUUUUAAAAAUAUAAUCUAUCGACAUGAUGACCGCUCGAGCACCAAACACUUGAGCUUGAGCAUUGGAUAAGCCCUUGAGCAAUUCCAAUGCUUGAGCUCGAGCAUCCUUGUUUUUCCAAAAUAUUAAUUUAAGCAUUUUUUAAUUUAAAGAAAAUGCACUAAUCCAUUUUAACCCUUAACCACUUAACUUGUACUAAACAAAUCUUUUUAGACUUACUUGUGACUUUCUCCAAUAACAAUCUUGAAUCUCCAAUGGAGAAUAAGUCACUAUUUAAAAAUAUUUUCUAAACCAAAAAAUAUUGAAACAAAAUUGCCAACAUACAAUAUACUAGAUUCAUUGUUCUAGAAAAUCAUAUUAAAAUUUUGUUUAAUAAUGGUAAUUCUAGUAAGUGGAUUUUUAAUAAAUAAUUAAAUAAAUAAUUUAAAACAUUUCCUUUUCAAAAUUAACUAGCAAUUUUCAAUAUAAACUAAAUUAGUUGUCACCUUAUAACCUUUUUUAGAAAUUCAUUGCACAUUAUUUUUAAAUUAUUAAAUUAAUUUGUCAAAAUCAUUCUUAAAUUGUUAUAUUAUCAAUAUACUUCGAAGAUGUUAGGUAAAAUUUAAUAAUUAAUACUUAUUAUUUAAUAAUCUAGAUUGAUUUUAAGUUACCCUUUCCACAUUUUUCCAUGUAUCCACAACAUGUCACCACCGUAUCGAAGAUUGCAUAUAACUCAAAUAUAGACAAACUAUACACAGAGAGAUUUGGAUUGUUUAUGAACUUAAAAUAAGAUUAUAUCAACAUGAAUCGAUUGCGCAAAUGUACUGAGUCACUAAAUAGAAACUAGCCUAUGAGAAACAACACCAAAAGGCCAACAAAGUCACAAUCCCUUACAUCCAACAAUCCAUCUCAUUCUAUUUUCCUAAGUACUAUUUUGCUUCUUAUUUAUGUUAUAUUUAAAACCACCUAUGAAUAUGAAUUGUAAUCUCUGUUCUCAACCACAUAUUUUUAGUUCAUGAAUCCAUACUAAAAGCUGCAAUCAACGAAGAUAUAUAAGAACAUGCAAAUAGGCUAAUGAAGCUUUGUCAUAACUCGUCCAAAGAAAGAAGAGCAUCAACCACUCACCAACAUAUAGAGUGUGAGUAAUAAGAGGAAGCCUGAAACAUGGCCUGAAAUUCAGUUUCUUCACCAACAAUGUUUCCAACAUGUCAAACACUGGCGUUGCCGCAAACUUAUGAGGAAAUGAAAGAUUAAGUGAAAUCAAACAUAGUAUUUGCAGAAGUUAGAAUUUUCAAUUGCACGUGGUAGCGUCCAAUAACAUGGAUGAUAACAAACAUGUUGGCUGCUGCUAUAAGCCAACAUGGUUUCUCCAGUGUGAUGAGGAUAUUAUCAGCAAUGCUGUACCCAAACAUUCAGUAUCCAAUCAGAGCAACAGGGAAGUAGCACAAGGAAACAACAAUAUAAGCAAAAAUCACCCCUUUCCACAUGGGUCCCUUGGAAGGCUUCCAAGGGGUGGAAGGAAUUGUUGCAUGGAUCUCCAACACCACAUUGUGACCAGCAUUGGCAAAUGCUACAUCACCCAAGGUGCUAAAGAAGGUGAAGACUCUUCCAGUUGUGGUCAAAGCUGUGUAUGUAUACUGCACAUCUGGUUGGACACCUUUAUGAACCAAAGCUGUCCAGGCAAUAGUUGAGUAAUUGCAGAUCGAAAGCUCCAUAAGAUAAGAACCUUUCAAUCACCAUUGGUGAAGGUGAAAAGGCUAUUGACAUAUUUGAAGGAAUUCAGGUCAAAUGGGACAUGGUUUAUACCAAGAAGCAGUCCAAUGAAGGCAUAGAUUAUGAACCAAGAUCAAUAGAGCUUAGUUUCCCUAAGAAAAACAUGAAAAAGAUACUGAGCUCCAACUUGCCAUAUGUGGUAGAGAGAUCAGAAGCCUUCAAACAAGAAAACAAGGUGCUGAAGCUCUAUUCAUACUGUGGGUCAUGGGAAUCAACCAACCUCAACCAUUCAUCAACUUUUGAAACACCAGCAAUGGAUUCAAAGCUCAAGCAGGACUUGAUAAAUGACUUAGAUCGAUUUGUCAAAAGAAAGUACUAUAAAGGAGUUGGAAGGGCAUGGAAACGAGGAUAUUUGUGGUACCUCCAGGCACUGGCCAACUAUGACUUGAAAUUUCACAUCUGCGACUUAGGGCUCAGCAGUCUCUGUUGCAACUCAAGAGUUUAGAAGACUGUUAGUCACAACCAGGAACCAAUCAAUACUUGUGAUUGAAGAUAUUGACUGCAGCGGUGAGCUGCAGGGCCAACAAGCUAAAGAGCAUAAUCUAAAUGACAGCCAGGUGAGUUUAUAAGGAUUCACCUUCAUGAAGCCCUAAAUUUUUAUUAUUAUUGCAAUAAUGAUGUUUUUCUUCUUCCUCUAAAUUCUCACUUCUGAAAAACUAAUAAUCCCUACAUAACAAGAACAGAGUAUAAGUGCAUAAUUUGGUGGAAGAACAUAAAUAUUACUAGACAUACCCGUUUUUCCCCCUUCAUAAACUGUUUCUUAUUUGUUAUUGACAGUUGACCCCAACAGCGAUUGCAGAAGAGCUCAUGAAAAGUGAAGAAGCUGACAGUGCCCUUGGAAAACUUGUUCCGCAAAAGGGUAAAGACAGCACAAAAUGAAGCAACUAAUGGAGAAGAUAAAGAAGCGAACAAAAAGGGAAAUGAAAGUCCAGUAAUUGACCAAAGUAAGAAGAAAGCUAAAAGAAAUAUGCCGAUAGUAAGGAAACAGAAAAGGAAGGUGAGGAUUAAGGAGAUGGUAAGAACCAAAUAACAAUUCAAAAAGCUAUCAGAGUACUAGUGCUCCAUAACUUCAUGCUUUUAUUAAUCGUCUCUGAGAGCUGUAAAUAAUGGGCCUAUACUUAUUAGUACCCAAUAAAAUCAAACUUCUAUAAUUAGCAUGGUUCUGAUCAGUCAACUGAACAUUAUUUACCACUUUACACAAAGUGUUUGAAGACAUUAAAAUCGACAAAUCAGCAUAUUCUAAUCCAACAUCCAACUAGGCUUACCAGGUUUACUCCAGCCGCACCGGACAACAUUACAGCACAGAAGUAGUCUGUUGAAUCUAUCAUGAAUAUUAAAUAUCAAAGCCUUCAUCAGUAUCAAAUUGAGUCAUCCCAACACCACCCACUUGCAACAACACAUGGGUAAUUGCAUCAUAAAAAUCAAAAUCAGACAGCACCCAAAUUGAGAACAGAAACUGAAUGAAGGGAGUCAUGAUUGAAGAGUUCAGUCAUGAUAACGUUCGAGUGCCUAAAAUUAAACAUUUCACUACAUGUCUCUGUCAAACCAUUUGUCAAACAUGUGACAUGCAUACAGAAACAUCCUUGACACAGACCUUAAAACCAAAAUCGAACCUCAAAUUAACCACAAUAUCCUUCAUUUCACAUUUUCACCUCAAUUUAAGAUUGCCGCUAUUGAUAUACCUGAUGAUAAUUACAGACCAAGGCAAAGUAAAACAAGCAGAAUGAAUCUUACGUAAAAAAUCAACAACGCAGAUAAAACUUUGAGAGCUGAAUUGGGGCAGGGGUCGCGCGAACGCGAACCCCCUCUACCACAAAUUAUGACGUAGACUCUGCCACUUGGGCAGAUCUUAGGGCAGUGCCCCUCCCAAGUGCAAUGGAGGUCACUGUCCUAGGCCAUGACUCUUCUUGAUCGGCCAUAGACCCCGUCCAGGUAAGUAUGUUGAUGGUGAACCGUCUCGUUUGAUUUAUACCACUCUAUCACCUUAUUACUCUGACUCUUGCCGAUGUGGGACUCCACAGCUACUCUUCACACCCUUAAUUUUCGAAUUUGCAGUUCUUUCAAUAUUCAAAACUUUCAAAUUAUACACCUAAUUGAAAGUAAGAAAUUUUACAGAUUUAAAUUUUAAAAUAAAAUAUUAUAAAAUUUUUAAAAUAAAACAUAAAAGUUUUCAAAUUAUACACAUGGGUAUUUAAAAACUAAAAAUGGAAGUCACUAAAAAACAUGGUCAUACAAUGGAAUAAAAGAGUUAAAAUACUUCAUAAAUACUAUUGUAAAAAACAUAAGUAAAAAUGAAUUAUAUUAGUGUCUUACUAGUUAAUUUUGCAUAAAGGAAUUAUCGUCUAUUCAUUUAUAAAAGUAAGUAUCAUCACGUUGUACCUUAAACUUGAUAUUAUAUCUAACGUGAAAUAAAACUGAUGCCACUCAAGCACCUUGAAUAGUCGUACAAUCAUUUUAUUUAUUCACUUAUUUACUUAUUUUAUUUUGAUUGCUAAAUUAUUUUACAAAGAAUAAAUAAGAAAGAGAAUAAAGUUUCAUUUAAAUCAUUUUAUCACAUGAUUUAAAAAUUGUGGAAAGUUAAUUUUUGUGGAAAUUAUUUUUUUAAAGUAUUAAAGUUGUUUGACAAAACUAAUUUAAAAUUUAUUUUAAAUUAUUAAAUUAAUAUAUUUAUCAUCGUUAAUUUUAAGUUAUUAAGUUGUGAAUAUGAAUUAUUACCCUUUUUUAAUAUUUCCAUGCAUCCACACAUGUCAACCCCAUAUUAAAGAUUGCAAAUGACUCAAAUAUAAAUAAACUAUACACAGAUAAAUUUGAAUUAUUGAUGAAAUUAACAAAAUAAAAAUGAUAUCAACAUGAAUUGGUUGCGCAGAUAGAACAAGUCACUAAAUAGAAAUUAGUCUAUGAAAAACGAUACAAAGGUCCAACAAAUCAAUGUAGAACGGAGAAUCGUAAGCCCUACAUCCAACAAUUUAUCUUAUACCAUUUUCUUGGAUCAUAUUUGAGUCUACAUUUUUAACUUAAUUAUUAUUUAUGUUAUAUUUAAAAUCAUCUAUCAAUGUGAAUUGUCAUUUCUAUUGCCAACCAUAUAUGUUUUGAUCAUAUAUAUAAAGUUUCAUGUGAAUUCCCAUCUUCAGAUCUUUCAAUCUUCGGAGCCAUUACUACCAUACAAUGGGAAGAUCAUCACGAGAACAACUUGAAGGUCUUGGCUUGAAGGAUGAUCUGCCUUAGUGCACCAAUGGGAGCUAGAAUCAUCAAUAUUAUUCCCAGUACUAUACACAUCUGAAAUUGCACAUAUUCAAACAAAGC